Ceratotherium simum simum (southern white rhinoceros) is the source of this 253-nucleotide non-coding RNA. NCBI's taxonomy places the organism in Eukaryota, Metazoa, Chordata, Mammalia, Perissodactyla, Rhinocerotidae. The record is from RefSeq and is a predicted model, not a curated record.
GGCGCGCCCCGGACGUGACCUCGCGGGCGCGCGCCGGAGCCGCCCUGGGGGAGGUGUCCGUGGCCCCCCCGCACAGCUCUUCCCACACUUGGAAUUGAUUUCUGUCCGUGGACCCGAUCUUGUCUGACUCCUUGCUGGGCUGAGUUCCACAAGGAGGAGAGACAGAUUCCUGCAAGCAGAUGCCAACUUUGAAGGUCAAACUGAGGGAUGGAGCUGCUGUGGGAGGAGGCGAGAGGGUCCAACACUCGCUCCA